This 89-nucleotide transfer RNA is filed under the name bacterium. Its description in RNAcentral is "tRNA-Leu". It matches the Rfam family "tRNA". Rfam says of the family: Transfer RNA (tRNA) molecules are approximately 80 nucleotides in length. Their secondary structure includes four short double-helical elements and three loops (D, anti-codon, and T loops). The record is from RNAcentral. RNAcentral also lists the same sequence under 1 other name.
GCCGAAGUGGCGGAAUUGGCAGACGCACUUGACUCAAAAUCAAGCGUGGUUUACCCCACGUGCCGGUUCGACCCCGGCCUUCGGCACCA